RNAcentral lists this transfer RNA (75 nucleotides) under marine sediment metagenome. RNAcentral's name for it is "tRNA-Val". It matches the Rfam family "tRNA". Rfam says of the family: Transfer RNA (tRNA) molecules are approximately 80 nucleotides in length. Their secondary structure includes four short double-helical elements and three loops (D, anti-codon, and T loops). The record is from RNAcentral.
GCGGAUGUGGUCAAGUGGAAAGACGCAGCCUCGACAAGGCUGAGAGCGCAGGUUCAAUCCCUGCCAUCCGCACCA